Molecule: ribosomal RNA, 246 nt
Filed under: uncultured bacterium
Lineage: Bacteria
Description: partial 16S ribosomal RNA
Rfam family: Bacterial small subunit ribosomal RNA
Source: RNAcentral
UUGAACGCUGGCGGCAUGCCUUACACAUGCAAGUCGAACGGUAGAGGGGCAACCCUUGAGAGUGGCGAACGGGUGAGUAAUGCAUCGGAACGUGCCCAGUCGUGGGGGAUAACGCAGCGAAAGCUGUGCUAAUACCGCAUGUGAUCUGUGGAUGAAAGCAGGGGACCGCAAGGCCUUGUGCGAUUGGAGCGGCCGAUGUCAGAUUAGCUAGUUGGUAGGGUAAAAGCCUACCAAGGCGACGAUCUG